Molecule: ribosomal RNA, 386 nt
Filed under: uncultured bacterium
Lineage: Bacteria
Description: bacterial SSU rRNA
Rfam family: Bacterial small subunit ribosomal RNA
Source: RNAcentral
AUUGAACGCUGGCGGCAUGCCUUACACAUGCAAGUCGAACGGCAGCACGGGGGCAACCCUGGUGGCGAGUGGCGAACGGGUGAGUAAUGCAUCGGAACGUGCCCCGUAGCGGGGGAUAACCAGUCGAAAGACUGGCUAAUACCGCAUACGCUCCACGGAGGAAAGCAGGGGAUCGCAAGACCUUGCACCAUGGGAGCGGCCGAUGCCCGAUUAGCUAGUUGGGAGGUAAAGGCUCACCAAGGCGACGAUCGGUAGCUGGUUUGAGAGAACGACCAGCCACACUGGGACUGAGACACGGCCCAGACUCCUACGGGAGGCAGCAGUGGGGAAUUUUGGACAAUGGGCGCAAGCCUGAUCCAGCCAUGCCGCGUGCGGGAUGAAGGCCU